AUAAAUUAGUACCACACCACUCUCUCCUCUUCAUAAAUCUCACUUCCUCAUUCCUCAGCUCCUCAAAUCAGAAUGGAUCAAUCCGAGCAGAAUUACGUUUCCGUAGAAAAACCUUCGGAGACUUCACCAGGGCCGUACACAAGUCCGCCGCCAAUUGGUUAUCCGACUAGAGAUGCGAUGGUGGGUGAUCCUCCGGCAGUAGCACUGGAGACAAAGUCCAAGGGCGCCCCGCGCCCCCGAAGCCAUAUUGGGUAUAUUAAAAUGUAUUAAGAGUUGUUGCAACUGUAUCGCAAAAAACCUAGAAGAACUAGACAUACAAGACGGACCAGGUGGAGGUGGUGAUUAAAUCAGCAUGACGAGGCUGAAGUCCUUGCCCAAACCAGAAAAACAACACGUAAUAGAACUUCCAUCAUUAUAUAUGUAUAUAGUCGUUAAUUUGUAAGGAUUCCCACGUUGCCUUUUUAAGUUUAUUUGCUUCAUUGUUUGAAAAAGAUCCAUAUAUGAUCCCCAUUUGCUUCGUGUAUUUUGUUUUUAUAUAAAUCAAAGAAAAGCCAAAAAAAAAGAUAGUCAUAUAAAACUGUGUGUUUAGUGUUCUUA
Molecule: long non-coding RNA, 597 nt
Organism: Arabidopsis lyrata subsp. lyrata
Lineage: Eukaryota; Viridiplantae; Streptophyta; Magnoliopsida; Brassicales; Brassicaceae
Exons: 3
Source: RefSeq, a predicted model, not a curated record